AUGGUGAGGCUGAGGCUGGGCUGAGGCAGGUGACGGUGUAAACAAACCGUGCUGUAAACAAAGCCUCAUGUAAACACUCGCUCGGCGUCCCUGCAAUAAUGCUAAGACGGAACCCCACCAAGAUAGAAUUGAAGCUUGAAGACCUGCAGGAGCUGACCAACAAGCUGAAGGGCGAGGCCGAGGCGAAGAGGACGAGCGACAAGGUGGAGGUGGACCCACAGAAGACGAGGAAGGAGGUGAUCGAGGAGCGCAUUGGCUACAACCCCAGGCCCAGGAGACCCAACUAGAGAGACAAGAUGCUGCCAGCACCAAGCCGAUCCAGCCUGCCCUAUCAGAUCCUGCUGUACCUCAAUGGCUGGUACAUGGCUGCCUUCAUCCUUGUGGAGACUCUGCUCCUCUUUUUCAAGAUGUCAGUCCUUCCAUACCCUCCCGGAAACAUUGUUGCUGAAGUUUUCUUGCUUGCAUUUCUGGGUGCCAUUGAGUGGGUCAGGAUUUUCAUGGGUAAGAAAGGCAAUCUCACAGAGGCCCUCAUAUCCAUAGCACUCUCAGUAAUCUUUACAGCUCCCUCUGUGCUUGCCCUCCUCUACCUGCUGCUGUGGCAGACAUAUGUGCUGAGGUUGGAGGUGAUCCUGGUGUCCUUUGCCCUUACAUUUGAAGGCAUUGAGCUCCUCUUUGCUUUGUUAGCCAUUAUUACCAUUAAUAAGUCUGGUAAAUCUGAGUUUUUAUAAUGAUAGACAAGUUGUUAUUUUUAAUAAAUUUUGUACUUAUUUUCUAAGCCAUUGUAGUUGGUGUAAAGAUGUGUUGUGUUUGGUGAGGGAUGUGUGGAUCUGACUCACCUCUUUGCCUGUGCCUGUGUGAGCGGUGUGUGAAAGUGACUUGCAGAUCAUAUCCUUAUUUCACAGUUCUCAUUCCUUUAUUCUGGAGUCAUUCAUUAUAUUUUCUUUUAUUCCUGAUCUGUUACAUAUCAACUGAUGUUGCUUUUAAUCUGGAAAGAUAUAAAUAUGUUUUUGAAAAUAAAGUAAUAAAAAUGUGAAUGCAAGAAGGUUGGCGUGAUUACAUACAGUCUUCUUGAUGGCAACAAUGCAUUUACAAUACCAGUGUGCAUCUCCAACCAACUUAGGAAUCUUAAUGAAUGAAUUAGAUAUUGUUGUCUAGACAUUUCAUUAUCAAGAAUAAAAUUUAGCUUGUAACAUCAGACCUUUCAGUCUUCCUAUAAAUAAGAAUCCUUAAUAACCCUGGUGUGCUUCAGUAUGUGAAAAUUAUAGAAAAAAUCAACCCUCUGCUAAUGAACUGUGAAUUAUUGUAUGUAAAUCAGGAUGAAUUUUUUUUUUUUUUUUCUAAUUCUACUGGUCCAGCUUUGUAAAAUGUAGUCCAUACUGAAUAACAGAGAAUGUUGGAUCCAUCUCAAGUUCCAGUAGAUUUGCAACAGAGAGACGGCCUACACUCGGUUGGAGGUUAACACAGCAAUCUUUAUUUUCAUAUGACCUGUCAUUCACUUUCAUGUGCAUAAUAUUUGUAUGUAAUUAAGUAAGGGCACACAACAAGGUCAUAUUGUAUCAAGUAGGUAUGAUUUAUGAAAAGAGCUCUGCAUCUUCCACCAAGAAACUUAUGUAAGCCAGGAUCAAACUUACAAUGUUUAGGCUGCAAACUGAGCACUGUACAACAUGCCUAAUUGACUCUCAUGUACAUUAAACAAAUGGAUACCAAAGUCAAAGUAUUAGUGGUAUUUUUAUUAUUCAUUUGGUUAAAAAUGCAAGAUUCAGCAAUUAUCCAAAAAAAUUAAUCAUCUUAGAAAUGAUAGGUUUAGAAAUGCCCAUUACUUUCAUUAGCUUUUACCUGUAUGUGAGACACAGAACACCCCAGUGCUGCUGAGCAGAGUUCUUGGGGCACUGAGUGGCUUGUGGUGACUCCUCCUGCCACACCUGAGGCUGAAAGAAUCACCACAUGUCCUGUCUGAGGCAUGGGGGGGGUCACCUCUCAGCUCAUCCCUCCACUGCCUUCAAUGGGCACCUCCUCCCUACCUGGUACAGUGCACACCAAAAAGUUUAGUCUGAAUUUCAAUUGUUGGUACCACUUAUGACAAAAAAAAAAAAAAAAAAAAAAAAAAAAAAAAAAAAAAAAAUCAACAAUAAGGAAUUGUACACUAAAUAAAUUUUACAAGAUUAUAUUAUGAAAUAGGGAAGAUUGUCUAUAUAAAUAUGCACGGCAAAAAUAAUAUGAAUGAUCCUAAAAAGUUCCAUUAUGUACUAUUAUAAUAAAUGAAGUGCUUGUUAUGGAAUGUUCUCAUCACACCUCAGUUUCUAGCCACCAAAAUACUCAUGUGUGAAAACUAAUAAUCCUAACUUUAUGAUGGCUAUAAAUAUGAGACAAAAGUUGAUUCAGAUUCAUAACAACACAUGAAUGAAGGUUGUGUUCAUAAACUAUUAUAGGCUAAAUGAUGAUGGGCUGGGAAGUAAAGGAAGAUGAUGGUCCAAUUAAACCUUACAUUAUCUCUGCACACACCAUACAUUAUGAAUAGUAAUGUUACUGUGUCAGUACACUGGAAAAAAUAUAGGAGGAGAAAACACUGUUAUGAAUGCAAGAAUUAUAUACAGAUCAGUAUGUACACAAGUAAUGUUCAUCUAUGUAUUGUCCAGCAGUUUUAAGAAAGUAUUUAUUCAACCAAAUGUUGUGUUGGAGAAUAAUAACUUUAAAACAGAA
Long non-coding RNA from Scylla paramamosain (green mud crab), 2700 nucleotides. RefSeq lists it as uncharacterized. The record is from RefSeq and is a predicted model, not a curated record. The transcript has 2 exons. Lineage: Eukaryota; Metazoa; Arthropoda; Malacostraca; Decapoda; Portunidae.